Molecule: unclassified non-coding RNA, 586 nt
Filed under: uncultured fungus
Lineage: Eukaryota; Fungi
Description: partial contains 18S rRNA, ITS1, 5.8S rRNA, ITS2 and 28S RNA
Rfam family: 5.8S ribosomal RNA (bases 214-367)
Source: RNAcentral
CAAAAGUUUCUGGAAGGGAACCUGUGUAAGGAUCAUUAGAGAAUUAUCGGCGAGUGUUGCCUCUGGGUCCUUCGGGGGCAUGUGCAGGCCUGAGCUCUUAAAACCCACCUCACACCUAUGAACCCGCCGUGGGCCGGACAAGGGGUUCGCCUGUAUAUAAGUUGCAUGUACUUACAGCAUGUCAUAUUGUGUGUUUAGCAACGCAAUCAAAGCAACUUUCAACAAUGUGUCUUGAGGCUCCAGCAUCGAUCAAAAUCGCAGAAAAAUUCGAUAAGCCAUGUGCACGCAGAGUUUCAGUGAAUCAUGCAAUCUUUGAACGCACCUUGCGCUCCUUGGUAUUCCAAGGAGCAUGCCGGUUUGAGUGUCAUUCAAAUCAUCAACCCCGUCGUCUUUGGUCGGUCGGAGGCGGGACUUUGGAGAGUUAUGGCCCCCGAGGUCGGCUCCUCUUUAUAUGCAACAGCGGAGAGGCCAUAAACAUUUCCGGUCGGCGUAGUGCCUCUGUUGGGUCGCAGGGUCUUCUGGGCCUCGCUGCCAUUCUCUUCGGUCUUCUUCCCCUUUGACUCAAUCAGGUAGGACUACCAGGACG